GUGGGGAAUUUUGCGCAAUGGGCGAAAGCCUGACGCAGCGACGCCGCGUGGAGGAUGAAGGUCUUCGGAUCGUAAACUCCUGUCAGGCGGGACGAAGGAACCGGCGGUCAAUACCCGUUGGUCCUGACGGUACUGCCAGAGGAAGCCCCGGCUAACUCCGUGCCAGCAGCCGCGGUAAUACGGAGGGGGCAAGCGUUGUUCGGAAUUACUGGGCGUAAAGGGCGAGUAGGCGGCUCUGUAAGUCGGAUGUGAAAGCCCCCGGCUCAACCGGGGAACUGCAUCCGAAACUGUGGAGCUUGAGUCCGGGAGAGGGAAGCGGAAUUCCCAGUGUAGCGGUGAAAUGCGUAGAUAUUGGGAGGAACACCAGUGGCGAAGGCGGCUUCCUGGACCGGUACUGACGCUCAGGAGCGAAAGCUAGGGGAGCGAAUGGGAUUAGAUACCCCAGUAGUCC
RNAcentral lists this ribosomal RNA (451 nucleotides) under uncultured bacterium. RNAcentral's name for it is "bacterial SSU rRNA". It matches the Rfam family "Bacterial small subunit ribosomal RNA", at positions 354 to 796 of the family's 1533-position model. The record is from RNAcentral.